UGUUGACCUCGGAUCAGGUAGGAAUACCCGCUGAACUUAAGCAUAUCAUAA
Molecule: ribosomal RNA, 51 nt
Filed under: Trichoderma koningii
Lineage: Eukaryota; Fungi; Ascomycota; Sordariomycetes; Hypocreales; Hypocreaceae
Description: partial 28S ribosomal RNA
Source: RNAcentral